This is an RNA transcript of Lycium ferocissimum, 2900 nucleotides long. RefSeq lists it as uncharacterized. NCBI's taxonomy places the organism in Eukaryota, Viridiplantae, Streptophyta, Magnoliopsida, Solanales, Solanaceae. The transcript is spliced from 2 exons. The record is from RefSeq and is a predicted model, not a curated record.
CUGUGAUGUUCUACAAGGAAAGAAGGUCUGUAAAUUCUGUAUCUUUAUCUCGAUUAUAGUUUUUUUAAACCUAAUCUCAUUUUUUAUUUACUCCUCGUUUCUGUGGACAACACAAGAGUUCAAUACAUUUGUGCUGCUUCUCUUGUUAGUAAAUUAAUUCUGGUUGUUUAUAGAAAUGAGCAUUUGCUAAAGUCAAACUCAUACUAUCAAGGGCAAAAAUUAUCAAAUCAAAAUUCACCUAUUUAGCAAUUAUCCAAAUCAGUUUGCUGCCCAUAGUUCUUAUUAAAUUUAACGAGUAGUGUACUGGUUAUAUAGACUAUAUUUCCGAGACUAGCUAUUCAAAUAUGUUUAAGUCUUUUUUUUCCCCAAAUCAAUUCAUCAUUUUUUUUGUGUAUUCUAUUGUUUAGUUAGUUCUUAUUAAAAAUCAAAUGAUUUUUUUUUUUCCGGAAAUGAUGAGUUCUUAUCAACUCUCUAAGCUUAUAUCCAAUUGCAGAAAUUAAGCUUGCUUGAAGAAAUCAGGUAUAAGAAGUAACAACUUUAGAAAAGUACUGCAUAGUUAUACAUAUGGAACAAUCAUGUAAUUAUUACGUGAACUAUACAUACGGAAUAUUCUAUUAUCAGGUUUCUGCAUUCUCUUUGCCCUCUUUGUUCACCUUCGUUCUAAAAAAUAUGUAUUAUUUCUUAUUGAAUGGUGUUAGCUAGUAUCUGAAAGAAUCUCAUCUUAGCUCUUUGAGAAAUUUUACAUUUUUUGGUUUGCCAAAGAGGAUAAUGAAAUUGGUAGAGGCUGUUUGCAGAUCUUUCUUAUGGUCUGGUACUGCAGAGAUUACAAAAAAAAAAAGCAAAACCUGCCUCCCAAAGGCAGGAGGGCAAAAUGUGAUGAAUAUUUGUCUUUGGAACAGAGCUGCAGUAAUCAAACAACUUUGGGCAAUUGCUGACAAGAAGGACCGCACCGCCUCUAGAUUAGGUGGGUGCAUAGCUAUUAUUUGAAGAAUGAAUCAGUGGACUCUUGCAACAUCCCUGUAAUGCUACUUGGGUUAUAAGAAAGAUAAUGAGACUAGAAAGUUCAUCCUCCAAUCAACUUCUCUUCAGGGAGCCUUUCAUGCUAGGUUGGCAUCUAAGUUACGCGGACUCUUCACUUCUACUGCCUCACCCGUGUUGGAUUCUCCAAAAAUGCACUACUUUUGGAGUGUCUGACACGCACACGUCGAUAUUUUAGAAGAGUCCGAGCAACAUAGGUUGGCAUCUGAUGUCAAGGGGAAUAAAUUGUCAAUCAAGAGCAUGUAUGUCACCCUGCUUCCAAUUGAUCUCAAAUUCCCAUGGAAAUCUCUCACACUACAACCAAGCAUUCAUCCAAGACAUAAAUUUACUUUGUGGUUAGCGGUGCAAAGAAGGCUAGCAACAUGCUUAGAUUUGGUAUUCAUGUGCCCCUGAAUUGUGUCUUUUGCAACUCUCUAGUUGAAUCAUUUGACCACCUGUUCUUCUCUUGUUCCAUCACCAAAGCAAUAUGGCAGAAAUUACUACUGUGUUUGGGCCUUCAAAGAAGUAUUGGUGACUGGCAAGAAAGGAAACUGAUAGAGAUGAGAUCAUCUGCUGUGUAUUUGCUAUUGUGGUUGCAUCUAUCUGGAAAGAGAGGAAUGGCAUCAGGUUUCAAAGAAGUCUUUAUCAGUGUGACAGGCUGCGCAGCGAGAUUGCAAUACAUAUCCACAUACACGGCAGAAUACAUAUCCAAUCGUCAGCAAAAGUUUGAAGAAGUUGGAUCUCUAUGAUUGCAAGCAACUCAGAAGAACUCCAAACUUCAACGGUUCACGAAGUCUAGAGACUUUGUUGUUCAAGGGCGACACAGGUCCACAAGUCAAUAGGAAUUUGGACAGAGUAAUUGAUUUAUGGAUCUUCCGAGCAACAUAUGCCAGCUAAAAUCCGUUGAUUCCUUGGACAUUAGGAGCUACUCAUCUAGACAAACGCUGCUAGUAGACCUGGGAGAGGUGUGAAAUCUACAAUAUCUUUUUUGCACUUGAUGGCCUGGAUCUAUUGAAAUGCUAAGAGAUCUUGAAGUUUUAGAGGAGGAAGGUCAUUAUUUCCAUAGUAAUAAUCUUGCAUCUUGGCCUAAUGAAUUGCAGGAGUUAAAUAUUUAUUCCAAUGCGAUGGGAUUCCAGAUUGGCGCAACAAUCAAGUAACGACUUCAUCUAUCUGCUUCACUAUGGAGACACAUAUGGAGUAUGAAUUUUUUGAAAUGAUUUGUCUCGUGUGUUCGUAAGUUUGUCAACAUAUGUUUUCUAGUGGUGUGCAAGGCUUCUGCUGUUGUACUAUUGCCGAAAAAGAGACAAUGGUGUACUAUGCCUGCCGCACAAGUAGAACUUGUGUGUUCUCUACUGAUGUUACUUACAAGAACCUUUUGAUGGCCAGAUGAAUUCGCUAUGUUGUGCCGUAACUCAACACAAGGAAUUGGGAUCCCCUGUUCAUUUUUAAGAGUCAAUUCUGCAGAUGACUUGUCAUGUUAUUUAUCUUAUGAUACAAAGUUCGUAUCUGAAGCUUUUUAUAUUUAUUCUCUUUAGCGUCUUAAAGGAGAAAUGAGUGAUUUUCUGUUGAACUGGGGAUUUCUUGAGUAUUUUCCUAUUGUUUAAGGGCUGUGGCUAUUAUGAGUUAUGACUGAGGUGGGGAUAGGGCUAUACAAGUUUAAACUUGUUUUUUGGCUACUGUUCAUUUGGCUAAAGCGUAGACCAUGCAACUCUGAUUUUUAGUUGUAGUCUUAAUCACUCUUUGGAGUUGAGGGAAGUCGGUGAUCAUAAGCUUGAUAUUUUACUAAUAUUUCUUCAUUCUUGUUCUUGUAUUUCUUUGUGCAACUUCUUAAUCAACCAAGGAAAUGACUCAUCGUAUAUGUAAUUUGAUUGUUGGCUAUGGCU